Molecule: ribosomal RNA, 475 nt
Filed under: uncultured bacterium
Lineage: Bacteria
Description: partial 16S ribosomal RNA
Rfam family: Bacterial small subunit ribosomal RNA
Source: RNAcentral
UGAGGAAUAUUGGACAAUGGGUGAGAGCCUGAUCCAGCCAUCCCGCGUGAAGGACGACUGCCCUAUGGGUUGUAAACUUCUUUUAUACUGGGAUAAACCUACCCUCGUGAGGGUAGCUGAAGGUACAGUAUGAAUAAGCACCGGCUAACUCCGUCAGCAGCCAGCGGCGUAAUACGGAGGGUGCAAGCGUUAUCCGGAUUUAUUGGGUUUAAAGGGUCCGUAGGCGGGCUCGUAAGUCAGUGGUGAAAUCUCAUAGCUUAACUAUGAAACUGCCAUUGAUACUGCGGGUCUUGAGUAAAGUAGAAGUGGCUGGAAUAAGUAGUGUAGCGGUGAAAUGCAUAGAUAUUACUUAGAAACCAACUUGCGAAGGCAGGUCACUAUGUUUUAACUGACGCUUGAUGGACGAAAAGCGUGGGGAGCGAACAGGAUUAGAUACCCUGGUAGUCCACGCCGUAAACGAUGCUAACUCGUUUUU